AUACCUUUCUCGACCUUCUGGCUAAGAUCAAGUGUAGUAUUUGUUCUUAUUAGUUUAGUAUCUGAUAUGUGGGCCAUCAGCUCACUCUUUUUAAAAUUAAUUUUUUGAGGGGGAGGGCCCACUAUAGUAGCUUGUUACUAGCUGGGACCUCUCACGCGUUGCCUUGGUGUUGCACUAUUACUAGCUGGAACCUCUCAU
Molecule: small nuclear RNA, 198 nt
Organism: Rhododendron vialii
Lineage: Eukaryota; Viridiplantae; Streptophyta; Magnoliopsida; Ericales; Ericaceae
Product: U2 spliceosomal RNA
Exons: 1
Source: RefSeq, a predicted model, not a curated record